UCCUGAGACCUUGCUGUGCUAUGGUUGUGUCUGACCUUAGAACUGAGGCUGAUUCAAAUAUCUUGUAUCUUUUUGACUCCCAAGAAGAGCAAUGACACCAUCUAACUACCUCUCUCUUUUUCUCCCUCCCUCACACAAAUUAAUCACGAUCCAUACCCAGCAUAUACCACUGGGACACAUGAAGUGUUCUCUGAGUGUUCACUUUCUCUCCACCAUCCAAUCUCACAUUUCUUAUAGCAUUUUUUCUAGAGCUCUUUUUUAUCCUUAUUACAUUACAUCUUGUUUACUAUCUAUUUGUGCAUGUGUUUCAUCCCUAUGCAACCCCAAGUCCCAAUGCCUAUUGGUAUGGGAUUUUUCUCCUCAUUGGUAGAGAUCAAUGCCCAGAGCUUGAGCAAAGGCCACGGUGGAAUUGCUGAGAGCUAGAAUGGAGGUUUGGUCUCUUCAAGUUCUUGAGUUUUUUCAGGCUCUGCAAUCUCUUUGGGCUUUGCAGUUGCUUUGGGCACUUCUGGAUUCCAUUUUAAGAGAGAAGAAGUAUGAUGUAAUCCCUCUUCAAGUUGCUGAAAGGAGAAUAAGAAUCUGGGAAGAAACCAACAUGAGAAGAGCUGGCAGUUUCCAUCAGGAUCCUGCCCCACAUUGCUACUCUAGAGAUUAAGAGGAAUGCCCCCUCAGGGAGAUCUGGGAUUCUCUCCUGGUUGAGCUGAUUUAUCUUGCUCCCAAUGAAAGAGCACCUUCACUCUGUAUUGUCUGGGACUUCCUCCAGGCACAAGCCUCCAGCAUCUACACUGGCAUGCUCAGAACCUAAGAAUUCAUCUAAUUCAGGCAGAGAGAUAUUUGCCAUGGACUGCUGACUGAUGGGAAAAAGAAAUUCAAGGGAGGGAAACUAAAGACUAUCUCAUGUAAGUACCAGCAGAGAGAUAUGUGGGCUUUUGGAUGGCUCCUCUCUCCUUGCCUCCAUUUUCUAUGCAUCUGCAUUGAGGACUCCAUGGCAGAUCACACAAAGGAUUUCUCUGUAGGAGAAGGAAAGAGUCCACAGGCAUCCAGCUCCCCUUGGGCACACAGUCUCUGUUGAGUGGGUUGCUCAGAAUCCUUUGGCUCAAGUAACAUUGAGCAGCAGACGUGGCCAGUGGACCUUCAGCAGUCUUUCCUCCUGUUGCCAAGAACAUCUAGCAAAAAACCAUCACUAAAUUAUCUAUAAGAUUCUGCAGCAAUAAAGGACCGUGAAAAGAGGCUGACCAUGUCUUCAUCCUCCUGUACUGCAGUGAUGUUGAUGAUGAUAGCCCAUAAAUGACAGGUAUAUAACUGGAAUCAAGGUUAGAGUUACCUAGGUAUCAUAAAGGCAUAAAAGCAUUGAACUUCGGUUAAGAAGAAACAUCAACACUGACAAGAUAAGGAAUAUUUAUUACUCAGGUGUCUUUUGCAAAUUUCUUUUUGCUUUAAUACAGCUAGAGUAUAUCAGUUUAAGAUACCAGGAGUAUAAAUCAGUGACAAAGUAUUAGCUUCAUUGAAACCAUAGUGCCCCUUAAUGUACAGGUUAUGAAAUGGUGUAUCACAAAUCAUAUCAUUAAGUCAUCCUUUUUUUUUUUAUUAAUGUAGGUUCCUUCCACAUUGGAGAGAUCCCAUUUGCUAACAAUAUCCCUAUUUUCCUGCCAAAUGUUAUAGUCAUGACCACUGAUAAGAGCUCCAUAUUUGCCAUCUUUGGUGGGAUGUCCCUCCUGAACAGCGUCCAUAUAUGCCUAAAAUUGCUGAUGACAGUUAUGAGCUUUUUUGCCUACUUAUCUGUGUGCCUUCUACAUGACCCUAAAUUAGGCCUUAGAAGGUAUAGCAUUUAAUAGAGAUUCUGGGCACAAUAUACCUUCUCACAAUUAGUAGAAAGUGCUGUUUUGUAAUUAAAGGGUGAAGUGGGGCAUGAUGAACAUAUGGAAAAGGAGACCCUUAAUAAGUGAUGGAGCCUUCAAAAGAAAUUGCUAAUUAGUAUGCAUUUGAUGUGCACUAUACCAAUUUUAAGACUUUGCCUUGAAUAAAUUGCUAUGUUGGGUGUUCGAAGGAGUGGUGAGAUUAGCAUUUACAAAGGGGGCAAUUUUCUGUCUUCUUGACUCUGUUAAAUGGAGGAAAUAACUUCCAAGACUGGAGCAGUAGUUAGCCCAUCAAUCAUUCUCACAGCUGGAAACUGGGGAUCCCAAAUGCUGAGAUCAGUUAAUCCGUCAGCUAAUAAGUUCAUAGUGGCACCAUAUGGCGCAGGGCCACUCCACACUGGGGCAAGGACAGAACUGUUUACACAGGCAUGCUGCUUUCUCAGGUAGCUCCCUGCUGACAAAGCCCUUUGUUCUGAAGGAUCAAUUUACUUUGCACAGUAAAUUGACUGAAUUGAUCAGUUCAGAGCAUAUAAUUGUUAGCUAAUCCUUUGGAAUCAUGUCCCAUCCAUAUGGGAGGCACAAAGAGGUGCUGCUAGUGGCCUAGUUCCUUGCUCCAUCCCAGAAGCUAUUUUCACUGGACAUGAUGGACCCCGAUUAAUAUGAUCAAUAGGUAGAUGUGUGAUCUGUAUUGACUUCAAAUGACAGAGGACCCCCCCUUACUCUCAGAAAGGCUAUAUAAGGUAUCUUGGCACUAUUGGAAUCAUAACCUGACUCGAGAUAAAAACUGGGCCAGUUCAAGCAAUUUAACAGCUGAGCUCCUUUCCUCCUAUACUUGCCCCAAAUGACCAAGAGGUGCUGCUAUACCCACAAAUCAAAGCAGGCAGGUCACUGCCAUUGGUCUCAAAGUUAACCCAACCACUAAAGAUAGUGAAAAAAGAGAAGAGAGAAUAGAGCAGAGGAGAGGAGAGAAAACAGAUUCAGGAAUUACACGGACAAAAUCAAAGACUUAGAAAAUUGAGGCAGAAACACAAUUGUUAGGCACCCUGAAAAAGUGACUAAGCAUAUUCACAGCUAUGCCUAUGGAUGGGAAACUACAUCAGAGACUUUCAUUGCAAAUUAAAGCAAAAACCCCUGCUCCCCCUUACACCCUGUGAAGUGGUCUAAACGCCAUAGCUUUAUUCUAUGCAUGUGUUUGAUCUGACUUUGUGUUUUUCUACUCACAUACAAAAUAGAUGAAGAAUAAAUAAAAAUUUAUAAAUUCAGACAACUGA
Molecule: non-coding RNA, 3124 nt
Organism: Phascolarctos cinereus (koala)
Lineage: Eukaryota; Metazoa; Chordata; Mammalia; Diprotodontia; Phascolarctidae
Source: RefSeq, a predicted model, not a curated record